Onthophagus taurus is the source of this 249-nucleotide non-coding RNA. The record is from RefSeq and is a predicted model, not a curated record. Lineage: Eukaryota; Metazoa; Arthropoda; Insecta; Coleoptera; Scarabaeidae.
AAAAAUAAAAUAUCCCCAAACAAAUUGACACAUAACCUCAAACUAACUUUCACAACUCCAUGACGCUUCAAUUAUCUAAAAUGUUUUAAUCUUUCAUAAUCACAACUUAAAGGAAUCAUUUACAUGAUCUAACGGUAGGAACAAGUGAGGAAUUGCCAAAUGAAUGAAUCUAAUGUAUAUUUUGUAAGGAAUUGACGAUAACUCCUGAAGAUGCUGUAUAAACACAGUGAAACCGGUUGAGUGAAAAUU